CCCAAGUGAUUCUGUGUUAAUUGAUGGAUUAUUGUUUCUCUUGUUUGUGUUGUUGUCGUUGAUAAAUGUUUUGUUCUUCAGACUAGCAUGCUUAGCAGAUUAGCUGUACUAGUUACAUACAUCCUCCGGAGACACUGCUGAUGUCUGCUCCUUCCUUCUAAGAGUUGAUGAAAGAAUUGAAUCAUGCGAUUGGUUACAAAUUCAGACAGACAUGUAACAGGAAAAGGUCUGAAAUAGAGAACAAGAGGACAGAAGCGGGAAGCGGCUGUAAAGUGGAGAGAUAUGUCAAAGAGAAAAGAAGGAUGGAAUAUUAAAGAAGGGUUGCAAGGAGGGGAAAAAAAGGCAAAUCCUUAGACGUUCAGCUUCUGUCACACGGAUUAUUUAUUUUUUACAUCAUAGCAUGGAAGGCUGGUGCAACACCCUGGUGCAAAUCUCAGUCUAAUGGACAUGCUAUACAUGUACAGUAGGUAUCCAUCCAGGAUAAAAACUCGAUGUGGAAAGCAGCCUAUGAUGUGCAAACAAAUCAACGAUGGACAAAACAAAGCCACGGGCUGGUGAUGACAGCAGAUGAUUGACGGCUCAGCGAGGGAGUUCAAACUUGAGGUGCAGAGACGGAGCGAUUGGCACGACAUCUCUCCCGCUUCAUUAUCUUCUACUAACACGCUGAGCGAAGGCAGGAUCACGCCCACUUCUGGAGCUCUUUUACUCCUAAUGAGAGCACAGGCUGCAUGAACAAUUUGCAAUAUUGACUACAUUUUCAGUACAAUUACAAAGGAGAAGGACUCGGAAAAGACAAGGGAGGGCUUGGAAGCGAGAAGAAAAAAAAUAAAAUUGCCACUUAAUUUGAUGUUUGUUUGUUUGUUUAGUGAGUGAACAACUAUAGCACACAAAUAUAAUAUCAUUUGGAGUUUAUCAUGUGCCUCAAUACAAUGCUCUUAUUUAGCGAGAAAUACCUAAUAACAAUAUUCUGUU
Molecule: long non-coding RNA, 972 nt
Organism: Tachysurus fulvidraco (yellow catfish)
Lineage: Eukaryota; Metazoa; Chordata; Actinopteri; Siluriformes; Bagridae
Exons: 5
Source: RefSeq, a predicted model, not a curated record